Molecule: long non-coding RNA, 257 nt
Filed under: Sorghum bicolor (sorghum)
Lineage: Eukaryota; Viridiplantae; Streptophyta; Magnoliopsida; Poales; Poaceae
Description: long non-coding RNA (SBIC_LNC009143)
Source: RNAcentral
GAUCAUAUGACACAUAUAUUUCAAAAAAAUCACAUAUUUCACAUCAAAGAGCCUAUAGCUCACAUAUUCGACAUCGAUAACAAUAUAUACCACAUAAUCCACAUAAAUUAUCAUUUCCAUCACUUUGUCCAUCAUAACAAGUCCAAAUACUCCAAACUCAGUUCACAUACAUCCAAACUAAGUCCAACAUGUUCAAUAACCACAAUUCACAAAGUUCACAUGUUUAAACAAAAUAAGUGCAUCACUGUGAAGGCCCA